This is an RNA transcript of Bombus huntii, 5606 nucleotides long. It is a transcript of the gene named coiled-coil domain-containing protein 170, with no coding region annotated. The transcript is spliced from 16 exons. Lineage: Eukaryota; Metazoa; Arthropoda; Insecta; Hymenoptera; Apidae. The record is from RefSeq and is a predicted model, not a curated record.
UUCACUAAUCGACCUUGUUGCCUAGAAGGGUCCCAAUGACUGGUAUUUUUACGAGAUUCUGUGAAAAAUUCCAUAUCCCAUUCGAUUUCUAAAUACCUAAUGUCAAAAAGAAAGUAUAUACGUAUUAACAGCAAGAUAAUUAUGUAAUAUAUAAUAACAGUUAUCACAUUCGGUUCAGGGUCAUAGCUGAUGUAAGAUAAGUGAACUGCUGAGUAAUACAUUUGUAGUCUUCGUAUUUUCUUCUCUCACAAUUACAGCAUUUCAAAUGUAUUUAUAUAAUCGAACGCAAACACUAAAACUAAUUUUAACAAAAAUAUCGUCCCCUAUCAACGUAUCAGUACAAUCACGAUCAUCUUUACUAUUGCGAUACAAUGUUAUUACAGUCAUAAAUGUCGCGCGUAAAUUUUACGUCCUUUUGUGCAAUUUUAAUACCCGAAUUGCGACUAAUGAUUGGUCAAAGUCAACCGAUAAGAACCGAACGUGACUAUAAAAUUUAUUCGUAAAGUUUAAACGUUCCAUUUGUUGUUAAGAUUCACGACGUUAAUUACGUGUAACGGUAAAUGUUGUUUAUUGUAAUGUUCAUAGUUUUCUGUUCGUAUAAUUGCAAGCGAUGUAUUGUAGGCAGCACGCACUUAGAGAUAUAACACGUUUGACUUGAUAAGAAUCCGUAUCAAUCGUUAAGUCCGAACGAUCGUUAUCUAUGUAAUGCGUGCAUCGAAAGUCUGCCAGGCGUAUUUCAAUCUGUCAUUGUUCAACGUACAAUAAAUAUUGCUUCAUAGACGAAUCGACUGGAGUAUUUUAGUUAUCGAGAUCGCGCGAAUGGAAAUUAGCUUCGACCAUUUAAAUUACGAUUAUUACGAUACAAUUUGAAUGAUCGUCGAAUUUCGCACUCGUGGAUACAGACGCUGAUUCCAAUCGACUAACAUAAUCGUUUAACCGUUAAAAAUUGGAACCUUAUCGUUGAAGAGAGACGAUCAACGGUUUCUUCGUUAACGGCGAAUUGAUUAUGUUAUCAGCCAGUUUUCUUACGAAGUAGCAGUAGCUUAUCAUUUCUUAUAAUUCCUACCUGUAAUCUUACGAUCGGGCAUAUCGCUUUUAGAGUGCAAUUAAGAAAAGUUUAAUCUUGCCAAUUCACCUAUACUCUAAAGAUAUGACAUUGCAUAUCGCCGAAUAUUAUGGAAACGCGAUUGUAUGGCACACUUUCUACAAAGAGAGAAAGAGAGAGAGAGAGAGAGAGAGAGAGGGAGAGAGAGAGAGAAAGAGAGAGAGAGAGAGAGUAAUGUUAAAAAAUAUUUGGAGAUAUUUAUCGGAGAUGGGGAGUUGAAAAAGACGGAGGGUAGUUUCUAGGGAUCAAUGAAAUUCGAUUGCCUGGAAGUCGGCGUCGCGAAGGGGAUGCUAAAACGACGGUUCGUUGCGCAUCGACGCGUCCUCUUUGUUGGAAACGCUUUUACACCCUCGAACGUUGCGUUCGGAGGCCCUCGUUACUCCGAAGAAUUUCUAAUAAAAUGUCAAUGAAGAAAGCAGAUCUUUCUUUUUAAGUGGUCGCGCAACGUGGAACGAUCGCGUAGUUGUAUACAUAUGUAUAGUGUAGAAGCUGAAAAGUUUCGAGAGUCGGAGAGCAGCGAGGAAGAUGUCGUGCGAGGAAGAAAAAAGAGAAACGGAGGAGUCGAGGGAAGCUACGGAAGAAGGAAAGGAGGCCACCGAGGAGGACCUUCGGAUUUUCCAAACGCUUUGUAUAUCAUCGCCUCGAAAGAUCGUCGAGGAGGAAGCCAUGACCCAUGAUCUAACGACUACGUUGAGGAGCGAGCUAGCAGCACUCGAGUAUAAACGCGACCGGUUGAUGUCCGAGCUCCAAGAAACGAAGAAUCUCGUGAGAUUCCGAGAUCAACGAAUAGCCGAGUUGCAGUUAGAGGCAGAACAACUUCGCGAACAAGCAGCCAGACAGAAUUCCAUCGUAUUGAGCUUGAAGAAACGCAUACAGGAAUUGGAAGAACGCGAGAGGAAUCUUUAUACGAGCCAAGGAAGGAACGAGACCGUGCUGCGUUCUUUGCAACGAGAUUUAAAGUAUCAUCAGGAGAAGAAUCGGGAAUACGAGAAGAAGAUACGUCAGCUUGAACAGACCGUGUCGGAAGAGAUCGAAUCGAGAGAACGAGCCCGUUCAAGUUUUCAGGAAUUUACGCGGAGAUUGGCGAACGCAUUGAGCGUCGAGUAUCGCGAAACCGUUCAUCCUAGUCCUGAAAUCGUGAUGCACAAAGUGGAGGAGCUGGUGCAAGAAGCGAAUCGCGUUCGCGCGAAGAAUACGAGUAUCGAAGCGCAACUGACUACCGCCGAGGUAGACUUUAGAAGCUGCCGGGAUGCGUUGGACUGUACCGUAGCCGAGAAGGAACAACUUCAGCGUCAAGUAUCUUCGCAAUUGGUCGACUUGGAUCGUCUCAGACAGGACAAAGAAUGCCUGGAGAUGCGAUACAAAGUGGCGGAAAGGGAACUGGACGGGUUGAGGGAUAAAUUGUUAAACGCGAACAGAAGCAUAAGCAACGCGACCGGAAAUAUAUCGAAUCAAGAGGCGUUGAUCGGACAGCUGCGAGAAGAUCUGACGCAACGGGACGAAAAGUGUCAGCGCGUGCAAACCGAGUUACGCCACCUUUUGGAAUCGUUGGCAACGCUCGUCAGCGGUCCGAACAGAUUCAUCGAGUCUCACGAGAACGUCAUUAAGGAUCGCAUUAGGGAGAUCUUGGCCGAGAACAAAGAUCAGGCUCUUGCGAUUCAAAAGCUUCGAGACAAGGUAAACGCGGCGACGGAAUCGACUACUCGGCAGGGCGAAUUGAUCGAAACGACUGUGGCGAAGAUGCGAAAUCUCGAGGACGAACGAUCGGACCUGGGGAAUAAAGUUCGCAAAUUAGAAACCGAGUUGACCGAUUGCGAGCUGUUGAAGGAAUCUCUGCGCAGAGAAAAACAAAUGUUCGUAACGUUUCUCAACCGACUAGGAAAAGCGAUGCAAUUGGACGAGAUCUCGGAGGAAAUGGGUCUCGAUCUUCAAACGGAAUCGCUUCUGAUACGAGCCGAGCAACUGGCCAGAUUAGAAACCGACAAAUUAGUGGAUAAGACCUCGGUGGUGUAUCAGCUGCAGCGUCGCGUAAGGACGCUUCGGGAGCAAUUGCAACGCCGGGAUCUUCAUUUGGAUCUCCUUCGCAGAAAAUUAUCGCUUCAAGAGGACAGCGUGAAAAUGAAAUCGUUGCUGCAAAGCGAGAGAGACGAAGCGAAUCUUCGAGCGAAGAAAUUGUCGAAACAAACCGAUCGCUUGCAAGUUCAACUUUUGGAAGAGAGGUCAAGAAAUCGCGAGCUAAGCGCCCAAUUGACGGAAGCCGCGGAUUACAAAAUAGCGGCUUUGGAACGCAGUCGAAAGAUAGAAGAGGUUCAAAAACGGCUGGUCGAGAGCGAGAUGCUGAGAACUCGAUGCAACAGAAAAUUAACCCUCUUGAAAGAACAAAUGAGAACAACGAGCGAGACUGCCGAGCAGGAAAGAUCCAUCAGCGACCAUUCGUUGCAACUGCUUAGGGACGAGCUGGCGCAAGUCAAACAAAAUCUUUCCGAGAUGACGAAAAGGGAAUCCCAGCUGCAAAGUUUCCGUGUUUCCGUGGUGAAAUUAUUAUCGGAACCAAUUUGCACACCCGAUUACGAGAUAAUUUCGCGACUGCAAAAAACAAUAGCGGCACAUCGUGAUUUCACCAUGCUGUCGCGCCGAUACGACGAGCCAUUGGAUACGACCAGUCCUUCCAGAUGUACAAGCAUACAUACGAUGCAUCCUCCUAGAUCGCCAGGGUCGCGAUGCGCUCGUUACGAAGACAGCGGAUUUGCAGAUCCGCCGGAUCUUCGCGAUGUCGAAGACGAAUUCAACAAACGACCGGAUGCAGACGGUAGAGAGCGAGACUGAAGUUGCUGUGCUGGUUGAGCGCGGGAACGCGAUGCAGCGAGGUAGACGAGAGGGGACCAAGGAGGACGAAAGGAACAUCGUCUAGUAGUAUGCGAAUCCGUUCGAGCCUCGUAUCUCGUAUCUUCCUGCUCGAACCAAAGUGUGCCGCGCACUAUAUGCGUGUCGAGCACUACGCAAACAGACCUCUGGCUUUUCGAAACUUUCCUGGUCUUCUUGUCCGGUCGUAUUCCAGAGGACCGAUAUCGCAGACGAAAGCAAACGAAAUGUAUUUUCAUUUCCUUUUUUUUUCCUUCUUUACCGUUAAUUCGUAUUUUUAGUUGUUCUACCGACCACUAUUACCUUGAGUCUAUACGCAGUCUUUCGGAGUGUAGAAAAAACGCCACGUUAAAUACCACGGUAUCGCGAUACAAAAGGAGCAACAGAAAUGGGAACGGUAAAAAAAGCAAAGUAAUCAUAGAUAGUAUGUAUUUGCGAUAUUGUUGGAAGUUAUUAUUCCAGAUAAUCUCGGCUUUUACGCUAUGGCGUUUUCCAAAGAGCAAAGAAGCAGGGUUGCGUGAUUUUAUGGGGCGUGUUUCUUGCUUAGUAGAAAAGUACAUACGUACACUAUGUACAGCACAUACCUACACGUAGUACGUCGUAUACUGGUUAGCCCUGAACUUGGCCAGCAGUGAACUACCUCUUUCUUUGCAGGAACGUGAAUGCGUGAAUGCAAAGGCGUCAUCUUUGGCCUCCUUAUUUCUCGUUGCGUGCAAACACACGCGUUACGACUAUUUCGACGCCAAGCAAGUACACUGUACAUGUUACUUUCCACGCUUAAACACGUACCACGAAACGAUAUUGUCGAUCCACUGUCAAAGCUAGCAGAUAUUUAACAACAAUACAUUUCGUUCACACCUUGGCCACUCUUUCGUCCAUUUGGAAUUAUCGAUCGCGAUCGAAAGUACGAACAGAAAAUUUUCUGUUCGAGCAUAUUUUUCUUUGAUCUCGGUUCAACGAAUUUACUGGAAAGUUUCGUAACGAAUCUGUCUUCACGUUGGAUGCGUACACCGACAGUAUACCGACAUGUUGAUCAGAUUCGGAUGAAAGUAGGAAAAUAAAGAUGAAGUGGAAGUACUUGUGGAAUUAUCUUUUGUAAUUUUGAUUAUUUCGAUUAUUAUUCAGGUGAUUAGAGAUUUCGUUGAUUGUGAACAUAAUCGUGAAUUUAGCUUUCUUCGCACAAGUAUCGAUAUAUUAGGUUUUUAAUUAAGUAGAACGGAACUAGGUUUCUAUCUAGGUACACGGUGGAUUAAAUAAAGUAUCGAUAAAUAACUUAAUCAGCUACGUAAAGCCAAAAGCACGCGAUCAUGGGUAUAUCUGUGUAUGUGAAAAUGACGAUUAAAUAUGUUGCGUUCUGCUUAUCUAUCGCUUAUGCGCUUAUCUAUUUAGAAACUAACAAUGGCUGUCUGUGUCAUUUCAAUCGGAUAAAGUAGACGGAAGGACAAAAAGGGAAUAAGGAUCGUCGAAAGAAAAUGCAAUGACAAAAACUUUUAUAUGUGUAGUUAAACGACAAAAAAUUUAUAUGGCCAAUUUUUACAUGUUUCUAAUUAGUUAUGUAUACAUAUAUGCACAUAAACUCGUCAGAUUUAAAAGCCGCUGGUCGUGCCUGCACCCGUCGUACACGUAUCGUUGAGGUCGG